CUCCUACGGGAGGCAGCAGUGGGGAAUUUUGGACAAUGGGGGCAACCCUGAUCCAGCCAUGCCGCGUGCAGGAAGAAGGCCUUCGGGUUGUAAAGCACUUUUGUCCGGAAGGAAAACGCCUUCUCUAAUACUGGGGGGUCAUGACGGUACCGUAAGAAUAAGCACCGGCUAACUUCGUGCCAGCAGCCGCGGUAAUACGUAGGGUGCGAGCGUUAAUCGGAAUUACUGGGCGUAAAGCGUGCGCAGGCGGUUUUGUAAGACAGGGGUGAAAUCCCCGGGCUCAACCUGGGAACUGCGCUUGUGACUGCAAGGCUGGAGUGCGUCAGAGGGGGGUGGAAUUCCACGUGUAGCAGUGAAAUGCGUAGAGAUGUGGAGGAACACCGAUGGCGAAGGCAGCCCCCUGGGCCUUUUCUGACGCUCAUGCACGAAAGCGUGGGGAGCAAACAGGAUUAGAUACCCUGGUAGUCCACGCCGUAAACGAUGUCAACUAGUUGUUGGGGAUUCAUUUUCUCAGUAACGUAGCUAACGCG
Molecule: ribosomal RNA, 530 nt
Filed under: uncultured bacterium
Lineage: Bacteria
Description: bacterial SSU rRNA
Rfam family: Bacterial small subunit ribosomal RNA
Source: RNAcentral